Molecule: long non-coding RNA, 2088 nt
Filed under: Homo sapiens (human)
Lineage: Eukaryota; Metazoa; Chordata; Mammalia; Primates; Hominidae
Description: HSALNT0392950
Source: RNAcentral
UUACAGGCAUGAGCCACCGCGCCCGGCCUAGAUUUUAUAACUCCUUCAACUUUGUGUUUUCAGUCAGAAAGAGUCAGCUAUGCUGUAGAAUCUGGUCACAAAGAGGUAGUGGUUGCAGUUUUAAAAACAUUGUGUGCACCAGCAUUGAAAUCAUCUGCAGAAGGGAUGCAAUGCAUGCUACAGGAGAGCCUGCAACAUGGGGUACCUAGCAGCGACCCUACUCCUCUGUCUUGCUGCCUCCUCCAGGGACCUGGAAGGCUGGCCCAGGGGUUCUGGGACUUUACCCCAAUCUGAUUUGGUUUGCUUACAGCCUCCUUGACUGGUGAGUGCUGCUGCAAUUGGAGCUACUGACCCUUUGUGGAUUUAAUAUAAUUUUUGCUUACCUACAUGUAGGGGCCUUUAGAGUUUUUAAAAUGCUCUCACAGAUAUGACUAUAACCGCUCAUUUUAUGGAGAGGGAAACUGACUCUCAGCAAUGGAAACAUCUCAUCCACAUUUACAAGGCUGAGAAGUGGAGGCUUGUGGCAACAGAGACUCAGGUUUCUGAAUCCUGCUUUAUAACACAUGUGGAUGUUCAAUGCACCUGUGUUACGUACGAGAAGGAAGAGCCCACAGAAUGGGCUGUUCCAUGUGUGUUUUAUGCUUUGUGAACGGGAAGCAAAGAGCACCAGGGAGGCUGGUUGCACCAGAGUGCCUUGACUCUGGCGCUGGCGCUGGCGCCUUGACGGCAGGCGGUGAGAUGCCUGGAGGAGACAUAGACUCUUUCAAAGUGGAGAAAGAGCCCUUUGGAUAACCUAGGUCAGGGAAGCUGGUGGUUUUGUUCUGAAGAGAAGGCUGCAGAUGCAUUGUCUAUGGUCAGAAGUGUCUGUUGGCCUGUCUCUGGGUGAAACUCCAGCUUCGGGACAUGACAGCACGUGGAACAAUGGCGAGGGAUCAGCUUCCCUCUUGGAAAUCAGAUGACCACGGAAUGCCAUAGGUCCGCCAAGCAUCAGAACUUCAUCAGCGUGGCACAGAGGCUCGCGAGCUGAAUUGCCUUUGCAAAGUGUGCUCUGCACGCAUGAUUUUAAACAGCCUGGCCUGCUCCUUUUAUCCUGUCAUGAAUAUUUAUGUUCCUGUUUUGUUCGGAUGGGACAGCCUCAGGCAAAGCAUGAUUCAGAUGGCGCUGGUGGCAGGCAAGGGCUUCACGGGACAGCUAAUUGUCUUCUCAGGAUUGCUGAGAGCAGGAAGGGGUGGUGCUGACCGUGCUGGUGCUGGAGCUGGGAGAGCAGGCGUCUGGAUUUCGGCUCCCCUUAUGGAGUCAGUUUGAACAAGCUGCUUAACUCCUUCAAGCCACCAUUUCCUCAUCUGCAAUGUGGAGACAAUAAUAGCACUGUAUACCUACCUCACAUAGGCAAUCUUUCAUGGCGUGCCGUGAGUUCACUGAAGUCUGUCUCAGCACACACUCACACAUGCACGCUCAUACCCGUGCUGAGUGAAUCCAGUUAAUUCCCAGAGAACUGCAAAUAAAGUGUCAGCACUUUAGGAUGCUGCAUCAAAUACCAUUCUACAAAAGAGGAGAGCUUCAGCCAGUUCUCUUCACCACUUCCAAAGCGAGGAUGAAAAUUCCACCUGCUCGUCAAAACUCAGCCAGAGCUCAGCCUCCCUCCAAUGAGAAAAUGUCCCCUGUGCUACAAGCUGAAGCCACAAAGACCAGUGUCAACGGAGGAGACCCUAGUGCCCACAAAUAAAGCCCAGCACUGUACAUCCACGUAAAGUCCUGUGAAGUCAGAAGUAAGGGAGAAAUUAAGGAUUUAGUAGGGUCCCACAAAGUCUUUGGAACCAGAUCUGAUUGUUUCCUUUAGUUAAAUUCACUCAAACAUGCAAGCAUUUGUAUAAACAUCAAUGUUUUUUUCAGUGAUUCUGUGGGAUUCCUAAAAUGUGCAUCUCUUUAGUCUAAGAUGAAACACUGGUUAUAGGAUGAAAAAAAUUAAACAUGCAUUCUUCAGCUCUCAGACCUCAACCACAAACUGAAGUCCCAGAAAGAGUCAUUAAAUCACAAUGUGUACUUAAAAUAACAAAUUUGAAAUAAAAAAUGUUCCAAGACAUUAAA